RNAcentral lists this ribosomal RNA (465 nucleotides) under uncultured bacterium. RNAcentral's name for it is "partial 16S ribosomal RNA". It matches the Rfam family "Bacterial small subunit ribosomal RNA", at positions 339 to 795 of the family's 1533-position model. The record is from RNAcentral.
CUACGGGGGGCUGCAGUGGGGAAUAUUGGACAAUGGGGGAAACCCUGAUCCAGCAAUGCCGCGUGUGCGAAGAAGGCCUGCGGGUUGUAAAGCACUUUCGGUUGGGAGGACUGCUUCUAGCACUAAUAUUGUUGGAAGUUGACGUUACCUUCAGAAGAAGCACCGGCUAACUCCGUGCCAGCAGCCGCGGUAAUACGGAGGGUGCAAGCGUUAAUCGGAAUUACUGGGCGUAAAGCGCGCGUAGGCGGCUAGAUCAGUCGGGUGUGAAAGCCCCGGGCUUAACCUGGGAACUGCAUCCGAUACUGUCUAGCUUGAGUACAGGAGAGGGGAGUGGAAUUCCAGAUGUAGCGGUGAAAUGCGUAGAUAUGUGGAGGAACACCAAUGGCGAAGGCAGCCCUCUGGCCUGAUACUGACGCUGAGACGCGAAAGCGUGGGGAGCAAACAGGAUUAGAUACCCGGGUAGUC